CCUACGGGAGGCAGCAGUGAGGAAUAUUGGUCAAUGGACGAGAGUCUGAACCAGCCAAGUAGCGUGAAGGAUGACUGCCCUAUGGGUUGUAAACUUCUUUUAUAUGGGAAUAAAACGUUCCACGUGUGGGAUUUUGUAUGUACCAUAUGAAUAAGGAUCGGCUAACUCCGUGCCAGCAGCCGCGGUAAUACGGAGGAUCCGAGCGUUAUCCGGAUUUAUUGGGUUUAAAGGGUGCGUAGGUGGAUUGUUAAGUCAGUUGUGAAAGUUUGCGGCUCAACCGUAAAAUUGCAGUUGAAACUGGCAGUCUUGAGUACAGUAGAGGUGGGCGGAAUUCGUGGUGUAGCGGUGAAAUGCUUAGAUAUCACGAAGAACUCCGAUUGCGAAGGCAGUUCACUGGACUGCAACUGACACUGAGGCUCGAAAGUGUGGGUAUCAAACAGGAUUAGAUACCCUAGUAGUC
This 460-nucleotide ribosomal RNA is filed under the name uncultured bacterium. RNAcentral's name for it is "partial 16S ribosomal RNA". It matches the Rfam family "Bacterial small subunit ribosomal RNA", at positions 338 to 795 of the family's 1533-position model. The record is from RNAcentral.